AACGUAGGAGGCGAGCGUUAUCCGGAUUUACUGGGCGUAAAGCGCGUGCAGGCAGUUGGACAAGUCGUGCGUGAAAGCUCCCAGGCUUAACCGGGAGAGGUCGUGCGAAACUGCUCAACUAGAGACAGACAGAGGCAAGUAGAAUUCCGGGUGUAGUGGUGAAAUGCGUAGAGAUCCGGAGGAAUACCAGUGGCGAAGGCGACUUGCUGGGUCUGGACUGACGCUCAGACGCGACAGCAUGGGGAGCGAACGGG
RNAcentral lists this ribosomal RNA (254 nucleotides) under uncultured bacterium. RNAcentral describes it as "partial 16S ribosomal RNA". It matches the Rfam family "Bacterial small subunit ribosomal RNA", at positions 524 to 776 of the family's 1533-position model. The record is from RNAcentral.